AUUGAACGCUGGCGGCAGGCCUAACACAUGCAAGUCGAACGAGUGGCGGACGGGUGAGUAAUGUCUGGGCAACUGCCUGUUGGAGGGGGAUAACUACUGGAAACGGUAGCUAAUACCGCAUACCAUCAGAUGUGCCCAGAUGGGAUUAGCUUGUGGGUGGGGUAACGGCUCACCAAGGCGACGAUCACUAGCUGGUCUGAGAGGAUGACCGGCCACACUGGAACGGAGACACGGUCCAGACUCCUACGGGAGGCAGCAGUGGGGAAUAUUGCACAAGGGGCGCAAGCCUGAUGCAGCCAUGCCGCGUGUAGGAAGAAGGCCUUCGGGUUGUAAAGUACUUUAAGCGGGGAGGCGUUACCCGCAGAGGAAGCACCGGCUAACUCCGUGCCAGCAGCCGCGGUAAUUC
Molecule: ribosomal RNA, 406 nt
Filed under: uncultured bacterium
Lineage: Bacteria
Description: partial 16S ribosomal RNA
Rfam family: Bacterial small subunit ribosomal RNA
Source: RNAcentral